GAUGAACGCUGGCGGCGUGCCUAAUACAUGCAAGUCGAGCGAACAGACGAGGAGCUUGCUCCUUUGACGUUAGCGGCGGACGGGUGAGUAACACGUGGGUAACCUACCUAUAAGACUGGGAUAACUUCGGGAAGCCGGAGCUAAUACCGGAUAAUAUUUCGAACCGCAUGGUUCGAUAGUGAAAGAUGGCUUUGCUAUCACUUAUAGAUGGACCUGCGCCGUAUUAGCUAGUUGGUAAGGUAACGGCUUACCAAGGCAACGAUACGUAGCCGACCUGAGAGGGUGAUCGGCCACACUGGAACUGAGACACGGUCCAGACUCCUACGGGAGGCAGCAGUAGGGAAUCUUCCGCAAUGGGCGAAAGCCUGACGGAGCAACGCCGCGUGAGUGAUGAAGGUCUUCGGAUCGUAAAACUCUGUUAUUAGGGAAGAACAAACGUGUAAGUAACUGUGCACGUCUUGACGGCACCUAAUCAGAAAGCCACGGCUAACUACGUG
Molecule: ribosomal RNA, 497 nt
Filed under: uncultured bacterium
Lineage: Bacteria
Description: partial 16S ribosomal RNA
Rfam family: Bacterial small subunit ribosomal RNA
Source: RNAcentral